RNAcentral lists this long non-coding RNA (594 nucleotides) under Homo sapiens (human). RNAcentral's name for it is "non-protein coding SNHG1:17". The stretch from base 191 to 262 matches the Rfam family "Small nucleolar RNA SNORD27". Lineage: Eukaryota; Metazoa; Chordata; Mammalia; Primates; Hominidae. The record is from RNAcentral.
CUUAUUGGGCUCCUGUCUGCAGGAUUUACGCGCACGUUGGAACCGAAGAGAGCUCUGUUGUUGCACCCACAAGAGCUUACUGGUGAAGGAAUGGGACAAGACCCAUCUUUAUGCAAAGCCAGCGUUACAGUAAUGUUCCAGGUAGGUGUACAUGGUUUAUGCUCUUACAGAGGAGACCUUGUAGAUAACCACUCCAUGAUGAACACAAAAUGACAAGCAUAUGGCUGAACUUUCAAGUGAUGUCAUCUUACUACUGAGAAGUGAGAGAGAGGUCUUAAGGGGUCUUUGAAUGACUAUUUUUAGGUACAUAAAAUGCUUUCCUCUGUUGUCUACAGCAUCUCAUAAUCUAUCCUGGGGAAUUCAGCUGCCUCCCAGGGUGAAUACAGGUAAUUAUCCAAAUUGGUGUAUGUCAUCUUUGUAAAUGUUCAAGAAAACAAGUGGCCGGCGGAACAAUGUUUUUUGGCGCCUUCCAUCUUGUUCCUCUUGAAAUGAUUUUCUGGGGAGGGAGAUCGCAACCCGGUACUACAGUUCUUGUAAGGGUGUGCUGUUACCCUCAUCCAUAUAUCGAUCACGUUACUGUCAGAUGAUUUGAAU